GGUCCAGGACUGGCUCUGCGGGCGCCGCCAGGCCCAGACCAAGCUACCAUCAGAAGUUGAAUUCUAAUAAUUAGCUAUUUUAUAAAGGUAACGAGAAAAAAUACACCAUGUCUGAUGAAGUUUUUAGCACCACUUUGGCAUAUACAAAGAGUCCAAAAGUUACCAAAAGAACUACUUUCCAGGAUGAGCUAAUAAGAGCAAUUACAGCUCGCUCAGCCAGACAAAGGAGUUCUGAAUACUCAGAUGACUUUGACAGUGAUGAGAUUGUUUCCUUAGGUGAUUUUUCUGACACUUCAGCAGAUGAAAAUUCAGUUAAUAAAAAAAUGAAUGACUUUCAUAUAUCAGAUGAUGAAGAAAAGAAUCCUUCAAAACUAUCGUUUUUGAAAACCAAGAAAUCAAACGGUAACAUAACCAAAGAUGAGCCAGUGUGUGCCAUCAAAAAUGAAGAGGAAAUGGCACCUGAUGGGUGUGAAGACAUUGUUGUAAAAUCUUUCUCUGAAUCUCAAAAUAAGGAUGAGGAAUUUGAAAAAGACAAAAUAAAAAUGAAACCUAAACCCAGAAUUCUUUCAAUUAAAAGCACAUCUUCAGGUAAUUUGUUAGGAUUACUGUAAUUGCAUUUCCUGGAGGUUUAUUUUAAGAUAAUCAGUCCCAAAAUUUUUAUAUGGUAGCUAGUAUAUAUUUAAGAAAAAAAGACAGACUUCC
This 702-nucleotide small RNA is filed under the name Pan troglodytes (chimpanzee). Its description in RNAcentral is "retained intron". Lineage: Eukaryota; Metazoa; Chordata; Mammalia; Primates; Hominidae. The record is from RNAcentral.